GGGGAAUAUUGGACAAUGGGUGAGAGCCUGAUCCAGCCAUCCCGCGUGAAGGACGACGGCCCUAUGGGUUGUAAACUUCUUUUGUAUAGGGAUAAACCUAGAUACGUGUAUCUAGCUGAAGGUACUAUACGAAUAAGCACCGGCUAACUCCGUGCCAGCAGCCGCGGUAAUACGGAGGGUGCAAGCGUUAUCCGGAUUUAUUGGGUUUAAAGGGUCCGUAGGCUGAUUUGUAAGUCAGUGGUGAAAUCUCACAGCUUAACUGUGAAACUGCCAUUGAUACCGCAAGUCUUGAGUGUUGUUGAAGUAGCUGGAAUAAGUAGUGUAGCGGUGAAAUGCAUAGAUAUUACUUAGAACACCAAUUGCGAAGGCAGGUUACUAAGCAACAACUGACGCUGAUGGACGAAAGCGUGGGGAGCGAAC
Molecule: ribosomal RNA, 420 nt
Filed under: uncultured bacterium
Lineage: Bacteria
Description: bacterial SSU rRNA
Rfam family: Bacterial small subunit ribosomal RNA
Source: RNAcentral